CGGAGGGUGCAAGCGUUAUCCGGAUUUACUGGGUUUAAAGGGUAGCGUAGGUGGGUCUGUAAGUCAGUGGUGAAAUCUCCGGGCUUAACCCGGAAAUUAGCCAUUGAUACUAUAGGUCUUGAAUCAUCUGGAGGUAAGCGGAAUAUGUCAUGUAGCGGUGAAAUGCUUAGAUAUGACAUAGAACACCAAUUGCGAAGGCAGCUUACUACGGAUGUAUUGACACUGAGGCACGAAAGCGUAGGGGAUCAAACAGGAUU
RNAcentral lists this ribosomal RNA (257 nucleotides) under uncultured bacterium. RNAcentral describes it as "partial 16S ribosomal RNA". It matches the Rfam family "Bacterial small subunit ribosomal RNA", at positions 526 to 779 of the family's 1533-position model. The record is from RNAcentral.